UCUUAAAGUCUACAUAGAAAAUAUAAAUAGUAAUUUAAAGAGACUUAACUGAAGAGACAGUGGCUGACAGUGGGGUUAUGUUCUGUUGGGUUAUUUAAACAAACUAUUUGAAUUGAUAUACCUUAUCUCUUGUGCCCAUUACUCAGUUUUUUUCGAAAUAAGAUGAAGCUGCUUUAUACGGUGGCCCUGAAGGACAAACGACACCAACAAAAAGGAAAACACAACGACAUUAACAAAAACACAACAACAAAAAGGAAAACACAACAACAUUAACUACUAAAAGAAAGGGUAGUUUACGGCUUGGGCGGACUUCAUUUAGAAGAGUGACAAAGAUGUAUUGCCCUUAUUAUGGCAAAAAAGUCCCUGAAGACUUCGAACGACCUAACUUUUGCUGUGGUUGUGGCAAGGGGCUUCAUGAGGUGCUUGUCGUUGAACCCACCAACGCACCGCCUUCAGUAUCACAGAAUCCUCCAUCGAAUCCAACCCCAUUGAUACAAACCUUCCAGGAAUACAGGAAGAAAAAGGCAGAGGAAAGGCAAAAAUUUUGCUUUGGUAAAAUGGGGACAAAGAAAAAGGAAAAGAGGAAUGUUCAGAACAAGGACCUGUGUCACUGGAGGAGGUGUUCAUGUUUUCCACAGGCCUGAAGUCAAUCCCACCUGCAGGAAUGACACCCCAUCCAUGCAUCACAUUUACACAGGAGUCCAUGUAUCACUUAGCGAAUACAUGUGCCAACACAAUCACACUUCCACUCUUGCAAACAUACAGUCUUUUCAAAGCAAAUAUGGACUUCGGUAUUCUAAACUCACCAGGUUUUGGAAGUCUCUGAAAAGUGUGGAAGACAAAAUAAGUUAUAGGGACAAGAAAGUUCUAAGUUCAGCCUGGCUAGGUCUUUUGUGUCAAACUAAAGUUUUGAGAACUUUGAGAAGGAGUAAAGUCAGUUUACUUCAUUUUCUAGUCAACACUCCACUGUUUCAAGUGAGUGGGGAAAAAGGCAAGGUUUGCAUUGAUCAUGCUGUUUCAUAUGUUCUUUAUUGUACUUAACAGUUGCAACAAACAAGUUGGUCAACAACAGAUCGUGUUCUGGGUUGUGGUGAAUUGAGUCCAUUUUUGUAUAUUGGUCCGUACUUAUAGCCCAGCUAUUUCCUUCAGAGUAAUGUAUAGUUCUGAGGCUGACUCCCAAUCAUGUGGCUGCUGUAAUCCAUGUUGUUCCACUGCCUGUUGUAAAUAAUCCUGAAUGUCAGGAUCACUGCAUAGAUGAAUAGUUUGUCUCGACUCAGGAAACCUGUAGUUCCCCGUCUUCAACA
Molecule: long non-coding RNA, 1304 nt
Organism: Seriola aureovittata
Lineage: Eukaryota; Metazoa; Chordata; Actinopteri; Carangiformes; Carangidae
Exons: 4
Source: RefSeq, a predicted model, not a curated record